AACGCAAAUUGCGCUCGACGCCUCUUCCGAGGUUUAGAGCAUGUCUGUUUCAGCGUCGGCUUACCACUCGAGCUCCGUGUGCUCGGACCUGGCGCUCUCCGGCCGACGUCGGAGUCCGCCGAAUGACAUCGGCCCUGGUGACCCAGAACGCAAGAGGGGGUCCGGAUCGGUAGGUGACCGUCGCGGUCGCAGCCAAGCCACCGGAGCCCCUGGCGUUGCCAGGGCCCGCAGGAAACGCGGGGCCCGCCGUGGCCCUCUUCCCUUUCGACCUGAAAUCAGGCAAGACCACCCGCUGAACUUAA
This 302-nucleotide unclassified non-coding RNA is filed under the name uncultured fungus. Its description in RNAcentral is "partial contains 5.8S ribosomal RNA, internal transcribed spacer 2, and large subunit ribosomal RNA". The record is from RNAcentral. Lineage: Eukaryota; Fungi.